GGUUGUUCUUCUCUGCUGCUGCUGAUUAUUUUGCCUCUUGGACUUUGGGGAAUGUUUCAUAAGCAAGGUUGUUUUAAAUGCCACAGUGAAAGAUCUACCGAACAUAGGAAUGACUCAAGAGACGCAGAGCUGGACCAAGGGUGUCCAAAAAGUCUCAGUACAUUGGGCACUACGUAUGCCAGCAUCCUGUCGGUUGUGCCAGCGGAUGUUCAUGGACGUCCUCGUCUCGGUUGGUACACAACACUUCCAGCCUUUAUGAAUUUGUUAAUAAGUUUGGCGACAGUGUCGUGUGUGAUGUGCUCUCCCUGUUUCCUGUUCAAGUCCAUCGCAACCUUGAGAUGGUUUCCCGAUCCAGCCAUGAGAAUGAUUUCAAC
Molecule: long non-coding RNA, 374 nt
Organism: Ictalurus punctatus (channel catfish)
Lineage: Eukaryota; Metazoa; Chordata; Actinopteri; Siluriformes; Ictaluridae
Source: Ensembl